AUUGAUAAACAUUUGAGUGAGUGGCGGACGGGUGAGUAACACGUGGGUAACCUGCCCUAAAGUGGGGGAUAACAUUUGGAAACAGAUGCUAAUACCGCAUAAAACCUAACACCGCAUGGUGUAGGGUUGAAAGAUGGUUUCGGCUAUCACUUUAGGAUGGACCCGCGGUGCAUUAGUUAGUUGGUGAGGUAAAGGCUCACCAAGACCGUGAUGCAUAGCCGACCUGAGAGGGUAAUCGGCCACACUGGGACUGAGACACGGCCCAGACUCCUACGGGAGGCAGCAGUAGGGAAUCUUCCACAAUGGACGAAAGUCUGAUGGAGCAACGCCGCGUGAGUGAAGAAGGUUUUCGGAUCGUAAAACUCUGUUGUUGGAGAAGAAUGUAUCUGAUAGUAACUGAUCAGGUAGUGACGGUAUCCAACCAGAAAGCCACGGCUAACUACGUGCCAGCAGCCGCGGUAAUACGUAGGUGGCAAGCGUUGUCCGGAUUUAUUGGGCGUAAAGCGAGCGCAGGCGGUUUCUUAAGUCUGAUGUGAAAGCCUUCGGCUCAACCGAAGAAGUGCAUCGGAAACUGGGAAACUUGAGUGCAGAAGAGGACAGUGGAACUCCAUGUGUAGCGGUGAAAUGCGUAGAUAUAUGGAAGAACACCAGUGGCGAAGGCGGCUGUCUGGUCUGUAACUGACGCUGAGGCUCGAAAGCAUGGGUAGCAAACAGGAUUAGAUACCCUGGUAGUCCAUGCCGUAAACGAUGAGUGCUAGGUGUUGGAGGGUUUCCGCCCUUCAGUGCCGCAGCUAACGCAUUAAGCACUCCGCCUGGAGAGUACGACCGCAAGGUUGAAACUCAAAGGAAUUGACGGGGGCCCGCACAAGCGGUGGAGCAUGUGGUUUAAUUCGAAGCAACGCGAAGAACCUUACCAGGUCUUGACAUCCUUUGACCACUCUAGAGAUAGAGCUUUCCCUUCGGGGACAAAGUGACAGGUGGUGCAUGGUUGUCCUCAGCUCGUGUCGUGAGAUGUUGGGUUAAGUCCCGCAACGAC
RNAcentral lists this ribosomal RNA (1036 nucleotides) under Latilactobacillus sakei. RNAcentral's name for it is "bacterial SSU rRNA". It matches the Rfam family "Bacterial small subunit ribosomal RNA", at positions 75 to 1096 of the family's 1533-position model. The record is from RNAcentral. Lineage: Bacteria; Bacillati; Bacillota; Bacilli; Lactobacillales; Lactobacillaceae.